UGCGCGCUCCCGCCGGCGUCCGUCUCCGCACUCUCCCACCUCGCGGUGCUGCCCGGCCCGACUGCUAUUUCUUUCUCUGUUUGGGUACAGCUCCAGUCUUCUCGUCUCCGUCUGACCCUUCUGGGGGGCAUGUGUGCGAGCUCUCGUUCUGAUUAUCAGACAUUUCUUUUCCACUGUGUGGGCAGGAGACAGAUUUUUCCCCGCGAACUGUCUCCCGUCUCUUUUAUUCAUUUUAUUCUCUGUUUCUCUCCUUUCCCUCCUCCUGCCUUCCCGCCCGCCCCCCUCUUCUUUUUUCCUGAUUCCUCCUUCCCCCUUCAAUUUCACCAUCUCUCCUGCCCCCUCUCCCCGUGCCCCUUCCGCUCCCCGUGUGCCCUUUGAAAAUAAUUCAGUGAUGUCUCGGAAAUACUAGCACACUCUCCUCAUUCAUCCGAGCGCGGGACUCUGCGUUAAUUCAAGAAUUCUUCAAAGGAUUAAAGUUGCUUUCACUACUUGGUUAAAUCAGCUUUUCCCAAGAGAGAUAUUUCAGAGAUGUCACCACUAUAUGCAGGCACAGAGUGGAUGUCUGACCAACAUCUGAGCAAUGUUCUGUGAUGGUGCCCGACAUGCGUGGACUGAGCCCCGGCCGCAGGCUGCUGGAGCCCGCCCUCUGCCCGGCUGCGGGCGGGAGCCCUGAGCCCGGGGCCGAGGGCCGCCGCCGCCAUCGCCACGUCCUGGCCCUGCCCGAGGAGGAGGCAUG
This is a long non-coding RNA of Aethalodelphis obliquidens (Pacific white-sided dolphin), 736 nucleotides long. RefSeq lists it as uncharacterized. Lineage: Eukaryota; Metazoa; Chordata; Mammalia; Artiodactyla; Delphinidae. The transcript has 3 exons. The record is from RefSeq and is a predicted model, not a curated record.